AGUGAACGCUGGCGGUAGGCCUAACACAUGCAAGUCGAACGGCAGCACAGUAAGAGCUUGCUCUUACGGGUGGCGAGUGGCGGACGGGUGAGGAAUACAUCGGAAUCUACUUUUUCGUGGGGGAUAACGUAGGGAAACUUACGCUAAUACCGCAUACGACCUACGGGUGAAAGCAGGGGAUCUUCGGACCUUGCGCGAUUGAAUGAGCCGAUGUCGGAUUAGCUAGUUGGCGGGGUAAAGGCCCACCAAGGCGACGAUCCGUAGCUGGUCUGAGAGGAUGAUCAGCCACCAUGAAACUGAGACACGGUCCAGACUCCAACGGGAGGCAGCAGUGGGGAAUAUUGGACAAUGGGCGGAAGCCUGAUCCAGCCAUACCGCGUGGGUGAAGAAGGCCUUCGGGUUGUAAAGCCCUUUUGUUGGGAAAGAAAAGCAGCAGGUUAAUACCCCGCUGUUCUGACGGUACCCAAAGAAUAAGCACCGGCUAACUUCGUG
This 492-nucleotide ribosomal RNA is filed under the name uncultured bacterium. RNAcentral's name for it is "partial 16S ribosomal RNA". It matches the Rfam family "Bacterial small subunit ribosomal RNA", at positions 29 to 507 of the family's 1533-position model. The record is from RNAcentral.